Molecule: ribosomal RNA, 467 nt
Filed under: uncultured bacterium
Lineage: Bacteria
Description: partial 16S ribosomal RNA
Rfam family: Bacterial small subunit ribosomal RNA
Source: RNAcentral
GACGAACGCUGGCGGCGUGCUUAACACAUGCAAGUCGAACGGAAAGGCCCUGCUUUUGUGGGGUGCUCGAGUGGCGAACGGGUGAGUAACACGUGAGUAACCUGCCCUUGACUUUGGGAUAACUUCAGGAAACUGGGGCUAAUACCGGAUAGGAGCUCCUGCUGCAUGGUGGGGGUUGGAAAGUUUCGGCGGUUGGGGAUGGACUCGCGGCUUAUCAGCUUGUUGGUGGGGUAGUGGCUUACCAAGGCUUUGACGGGUAGCCGGCCUGAGAGGGUGACCGGCCACAUUGGGACUGAGAUACGGCCCAGACUCCUACGGGAGGCAGCAGUGGGGAAUAUUGCACAAUGGGCGGAAGCCUGAUGCAGCAACGCCGCGUGCGGGAUGACGGCCUUCGGGUUGUAAACCGCUUUCGCCUGUGACGAAGCGUGAGUGACGGUAAUGGGUAAAGAAGCACGGCUAACUACGUG